CCUCCGAGCCCCGGACUUUAGCUGCCCCUUCCUGCUGCAGACGGAUGCCUCCGACACAGGACUGGGAGCCGUCCUGUCACAGAUCCAGGAGGAUGGCUGGGCUCUU
Molecule: long non-coding RNA, 106 nt
Organism: Sinocyclocheilus grahami
Lineage: Eukaryota; Metazoa; Chordata; Actinopteri; Cypriniformes; Cyprinidae
Exons: 3
Source: RefSeq, a predicted model, not a curated record